CCCCGUCUAGCUCAAUGGUAGAGCUCUCGGCUGUAGCCCGAGUGGUUGGUGGUUCGAAUCCGCCGGCGGGGA
This 72-nucleotide transfer RNA is filed under the name Candidatus Woesearchaeota archaeon. Its description in RNAcentral is "tRNA-Tyr". It matches the Rfam family "tRNA". From Rfam's summary of the family: Transfer RNA (tRNA) molecules are approximately 80 nucleotides in length. Their secondary structure includes four short double-helical elements and three loops (D, anti-codon, and T loops). Further hydrogen bonds mediate the characteristic L-shaped molecular structure. tRNAs have two regions of fundamental functional importance: the anti-codon, which is responsible for specific mRNA codon recognition, and the 3' end, to which the tRNAs corresponding amino acid is attached (by aminoacyl-tRNA synthetases). tRNAs cope with the degeneracy of the genetic code in two manners: having more than one tRNA (with a specific anti-codon) for a particular amino acid; and 'wobble' base-pairing, i.e. permitting non-standard base-pairing at the 3rd anti-codon position. The record is from RNAcentral. Lineage: Archaea; Nanobdellati; Candidatus Woesearchaeota.